GAUCCUGGCUCAGGAUGAACGCUGGCGGCGUGCCUAACACAUGCAAGUCGAACGAAGCACCUUUUAAGAUUCUUCGGAUGAUUGAUCGGUGACUGAGUGGCGGACGGGUGAGUAACGCGUGGGUAACCUGCCCUGUACAGGGGGAUAACAGUUGGAAACGGCUGCUAAUACCGCAUAAGCGCACGAGAGGACAUCCUCUUGUGUGAAAAACUCCGGUGGUACAGGAUGGGCCCGCGU
RNAcentral lists this ribosomal RNA (237 nucleotides) under uncultured bacterium. RNAcentral describes it as "partial 16S ribosomal RNA". It matches the Rfam family "Bacterial small subunit ribosomal RNA", at positions 15 to 236 of the family's 1533-position model. The record is from RNAcentral.